Molecule: small nucleolar RNA, 57 nt
Filed under: Catagonus wagneri (Chacoan peccary)
Lineage: Eukaryota; Metazoa; Chordata; Mammalia; Artiodactyla; Tayassuidae
Description: Small nucleolar RNA SNORD66 (ENSCWAG00000007343.1)
Rfam family: Small nucleolar RNA SNORD66
About the family: snoRNA HBII-142 is part of the C/D family of snoRNAs. It is the human orthologue of the mouse MBII-142 snoRNA and is predicted to guide 2'O-ribose methylation of small 18S rRNA at residue C1272.
Source: Rfam by way of RNAcentral
UUCCUGUGAUGACUAAUUUUAUGCGCCAACUUGCCUGGGCCAUGAAGCGCCCAGGAA